This is a long non-coding RNA of Phacochoerus africanus (Common warthog), 1185 nucleotides long. RefSeq lists it as uncharacterized. Lineage: Eukaryota; Metazoa; Chordata; Mammalia; Artiodactyla; Suidae. The record is from RefSeq and is a predicted model, not a curated record. The transcript has 3 exons.
GUAGGCCAGAGGCUACAGCUCCGAUUCAACCCCUAACCUGGGAACCUACAUAUGCCAAGGGUGCAGCCCUAAAAAGAAAAAAAAAAAAAAGCAACAUGCACAAGACAGCCAAUGGAAGCUCAUAAGAAUGAAGUCACUGAACUUUAAUACACCCUGAAAGGAGGUCAGGGUGGGGAUCAGGAAGGAGGCAUUCUCUCUCUGGGAAAACUGACAGAUCAGGCCUUCAGGUGAAUACAUGCUACUGGACUGAUCCUCUGUCAAAUUCCAUGAGUGUGUUUAAUUUCCAGCGUAAUAACCAAAUGAGGCAUUGGAGUUGUCGCAUUACUUGGAAGAGAUAUGGAGAAAAUCAUGGAAACAACAUUGAGAUAGGAAGAGAAAUGACAAUCCUGGCCUGUAUAACACUGUCCCUUGCAGGCAGGUGUUCAGAGCAUCUGGAGAACGUCUCCUAUGGCCAGACAUCUGCAUCAGCAAGCUCACUGGGGACCUGCCAGGCUCUUCACUGGUGACAUGGAGGAUGAUGGUCUCCAGCCCCGUCUGCAGACUUAGCUGUGACCUGGCCCAGAUCCAUGGCCUGCCAAAGCAGGAGACCCCCACAGUUCUGCACCUAAUGGGGAGAGUCCUCCCUGUUUUCCUGCCUGAAGGACAGGAAUGCUUUGGGGUUCCCCCAAAGCUGAACAGCAGCCAGUUCCAAAAAGCUCAGGCCACCUCUUUCUCCAUGAGAUGAUCUAGCCGAGCUUCAACUUGUUUGGCACAAACAGCUGGAAUUCUUCAUUGGGCUUGAUCAGCAGGAGGAAGCUCUGCAGACCAGUUUGGUGCAGGAGCCUGGGGAAGAAAAGACCUUCCUGGAAAUGAGGACUCUAGCCUGACUUUGAAUAACUCCUUUUGAAGGACCGGGUUACAUCUGAAAAGAAAGUACGUAGCUGCUGUGCACAGGACAUUGUCAGACUGGAAAUUAAGACCUGAAAACCAGUAUGUGCUUUCCCUGUAGCAUCAACCUCAGAGAAAAUCCAGGAGUGGGAAAGGAGACUUGGACCCAGUCAUGUACAACUGAGUCUUAUCUACUUAUAGGUGCCUCUUGUGUGUCAGUGUUCCCUCAGUUCAAAGACUUUUUCUUCUUCGGUUGUAAAUGCAUUGAGUCAUCUCGGCAAAUUGUUUUUCAAUACUAAAAGAGAAUAUAAUUUUGAA